This 261-nucleotide ribosomal RNA is filed under the name uncultured bacterium. Its description in RNAcentral is "partial 16S ribosomal RNA". It matches the Rfam family "Bacterial small subunit ribosomal RNA", at positions 793 to 1055 of the family's 1533-position model. The record is from RNAcentral.
GUCCACGCUGUAAACGAUGGAUACUAGGUGUGGGAGGUAUCGACCCCUUCCGUGCCGCAGUUAACGCAAUAAGUAUCCCGCCUGGGGAGUACGGCCGCAAGGUUGAAACUCAAAGGAAUUGACGGGGCCCGCACAAGCAGCGGAGCAUGUGGUUUAAUUCGAAGCAACGCGAAGAACCUUACCAGAACUUGACAUCGUCUGCAUUACCCGUAAUGGGGGAAGUCCUUCGGGACAGAUAGACAGGUGGUGCAUGGUUGUCGU